RNAcentral lists this ribosomal RNA (189 nucleotides) under uncultured bacterium. RNAcentral describes it as "partial 16S ribosomal RNA". The record is from RNAcentral.
UGUCGUAACAAGGUAACCGUAAGUCGUAACAAGGUAACCGUAGAGUUUGAUCCUGGCUCAGCCUUUGACUUAAAAAAAUGGAGAAGUCGUAACAAGGUAACCGUAAGUCGUAACAAGGUAGCCGUAAGUCGUAACAGGGUACCGUAGAGUUUGAUCCUGGCUCAGAAAGACCUAACAAGGUAGCCGUAA